Molecule: ribosomal RNA, 253 nt
Filed under: uncultured bacterium
Lineage: Bacteria
Description: partial 16S ribosomal RNA
Rfam family: Bacterial small subunit ribosomal RNA
Source: RNAcentral
UACGUAGGGUGCAAGCGUUAAUCGGAAUUACUGGGCGUAAAGCGUGCGCAGGUUGCCUUGCAAGACUUUUGUGAAAUCCCCAGGCUCAACCCGGGAACUGCAAAAGUGACUGCAAAGCUAGAGUAGGGAAGAGGGGGGUAGAACUCCACGUGUAGCAGUGAAAUGCGUAGAUAUGUGGAAGAACACCGACGGCGAAGGCAGCCCCCUGGUACCAAACUGACACUCAAGCACCAAAGCGUGGGGAGCAAACAGG